This 105-nucleotide small nuclear RNA is filed under the name Sus scrofa (pig). The record is from RNAcentral. Lineage: Eukaryota; Metazoa; Chordata; Mammalia; Artiodactyla; Suidae.
AUGCUUGCUUCAACAGCACAUAUGCUAAAAUUGCAAUGAUACGGAGAUCAGCAUGGCCCCUGUGCCAAGAGUGACAUGCAUAUUUGUGAUGUGUUCCAUGUUUUU